This 46-nucleotide unclassified non-coding RNA is filed under the name Trypanosoma brucei brucei TREU927. RNAcentral describes it as "spliced leader RNA". The record is from RNAcentral. Lineage: Eukaryota; Euglenozoa; Kinetoplastea; Trypanosomatida; Trypanosomatidae.
AUUAGAACAGUUUCUGUACUAUAUUGGUAUGAGAAGCUCCCAGUAG